RNAcentral lists this long non-coding RNA (1929 nucleotides) under Triticum aestivum (bread wheat). RNAcentral's name for it is "long non-coding RNA (TAES_LNC004782)". The record is from RNAcentral. Lineage: Eukaryota; Viridiplantae; Streptophyta; Magnoliopsida; Poales; Poaceae.
UGAACAUGACAUGACGAACCACUGAGACGUGAUCAGAUCAAUUAAUUUUUUUUUUGUGUGUGUAUAACAAGUUCCUUUGAUUGAUUGGCAUACAUCUCAGGCGCACAUACUGGAACACGGCGGUCUAGCCAACCUCUGGCCUCCGCUUCUUCCUCCCCGACGGUGUUGUGGAACCAACGGUGGGUUCAGCUACCCUCGACCGUGGCCUAACACGCACGGACUGAAGAUAAGUUAUUCUAUCUCUUCCUUAAAGUGAGAUCGUUUGCUUCUCUGAUCCAGUUCUAGUAAUUUGUACAAGGCCUUAGCUUGUUGUCAGGGAGGAACUUUCAUCUCAUUGCUGAAACUUGGGUAAACUGUGGGCAUACAAAAUACAUCUUUGUUUUUGUUGCCUUACAAACAUGGCUGUGAACAAACCGAAUGUUGGCAAACAAUUGUAUAUCCAUUUUCACUUAUUAUGAUAUUUCUGAAAGUGAAAGGGACUAAGGAUAGCACAGAGAGCAGAGAGCACACGGGUUAUGUUGGAAAAAUUGGUCGAAGUUACAAUGCAUUAGCUAGCAUAAAUAUAGCACAACUAGCAUGCCUAGAUGCACACAACGUUGAUGGUAAGGUAUGCUUGACAACUACCUAAUAGGAUCAGAUUAUUCAUUUUGUAAAUGUAAAAAAGAUAGUAUUGUCUUCACAACGUCCACCACUGAAUAUCUCUGUAUUUCUAGACCUUGAUUUGAUAUUAAAAAAACAAUCCAGUUUAUCUUCUCGCUUAUGUCCUGGAAGGUUUCAGGAUCUGUAUCUAUAUUCGUGAUUGCUACUGCAUGUGUUCUGACUCGGCUUGUACCUUCAUUAAAAUGAAGUAAUACUUAAGCUAUGUAUGAGUCUGAUCCGUGCAAGACUUGUUCCUACUGCUGCCACCUUGUAUAAAUAUAUACUGGUUCGUGCAAGACUUGCUCCUACUUCAAAUUUUUAGUCUGAACGUACCUAUAUAUACGUGCAUCAGACUAAAUUUGUAGUCUGAUUCGUGAAGUAGGAGCAACGGUUGUUCCUACUGCUGCCACCAUGUAUAAAUAUAUACUGGUUAAUUUCAUUUAACUAUUUUUUUCUGUCACAAAUAAUAGUACUAUGCUGGUCAAGUGGGGAACGUAUAGAAUCGUCUUGCACAGAAGUAACACGGAUAAUAUAAUCAAUGGGUUUUUGAUAGAAAAGCAUUUCUGUAUAUCCUGAAUGAAUAUAAACGAUGCAUGAUUAUUUCAAGUUGCACUUUCCUAUCUAUUAUCUCAUUGUUUAUCAAGUAUUUUCAUGUUUCAUAGUCCACUACAUUAUAAUGGGUUUAUAUGGCCUCAGCUACUGCUGCUAUAGUACUUGGAGUUCUGUGAUGUGUGUUUCGUCACUUUGUCAUUUGACACACCUUUCUUUGGCUUAAUUUUAAGCAACCUCAUGUUUACUCUUGUUUUAUAGUAGAUACAAUGUUAUUCUCAUUUGUAGGCACUAUAAGAUUUAAGAAUUCUGGACAUGUAAUUCAUUUUUAUAUUUGUUGCAAUUUUCUUAUUUCUACUAUCUAUUCAUAUGUGCAAAUAUCUAAUAUUCUUGUUAAUAUGCUAGGUAAGAUUGGAUACUGUGCUACUUGGUGCUGCCCAUCACAAUCAGCUACGGCAUGAUCGUUGCCAUCAAGAACGUCGAUGGCAAGAGCUUGAAUAACAGCCUCGAUAGUUUAUAUGUUCUGUUGAUGUAAAAUGGAUUGUACUGGUUCAUAACUCUGCUGUGUGAUAUAUUUUGUCAAUCUAUGUUGUAUGUCAUCACUUUGUAGAGGAUUUUUUAAACUGCUAUGUUGUAGAUACAUACAGAUGGCUGUGUUAAACUUUGUAAUGUUUCACACCUUGCAAAUAUUUUUUGUUGGGAAAAUUUGGCAUUAGGAUUUGUGUAACGCCCUUUAAAUUG